AGGCAAACGGGUUCGAUACCCCGCGCUGGGCCCGAGCAAUGGCGUUCGGCGGAAUUUUCUACCCGUUACCCGCACAUCUUCACUACAAUUUCCUCGAAGCCAUGGUGAAGAGGAUGGG
Molecule: non-coding RNA, 118 nt
Filed under: Lotharella globosa
Lineage: Eukaryota; Cercozoa; Chlorarachniophyceae
Source: RNAcentral